AUUUUGAAAUCCCCAAUUUCCCUAAAUUUUGAAAUCCCCAAUUUCCCUAAAUUCUGAAAUCCCCAAUUUCCCCAUCUCCUCCGUCUCCUUCGCCCUGUGCCGUCGAGUGUCCCCUCUGCUGCGUCGCCGUCCUCUGCCGCCACUAAUCGGCUGCGGCAUGGUUGCAUAUGUUGGCACAUCUCUUUCCAUACAUAUAAGGUGAUUUGCGCCGCUUUGAAAGAUUCAGCACCAGUUACUGCUUCCUACUCCUCCUGAAACUAUUGGUUCAACUGAAGCUGCCAUUUAAUCUUCGAAUUAAUAUUUGGUACUAUCGAGCACCUGAAUUAAUAUUUGGUGCAACUAAAUACACCACAACCAUUGACAU
Long non-coding RNA from Gossypium arboreum, 364 nucleotides. RefSeq lists it as uncharacterized. The transcript is spliced from 4 exons. The record is from RefSeq and is a predicted model, not a curated record. NCBI's taxonomy places the organism in Eukaryota, Viridiplantae, Streptophyta, Magnoliopsida, Malvales, Malvaceae.